UAUAACAGAAACCAUAAAGCUAAGUUCAUAUAAUACGCUUUCAUAGGUUUCCUUGAGAAGUGUUUACAAGGCAGCACAUUUCUAUAUUUAGGCGGUUUACAAGCUGGCUGGCUUUUAAAAACUAUCUUACAAAGCAGCUUGUGUUCUGAAAUCCCCGGUUUUAUCCAGGCUUAUCCCUCAGACUCAUGCAGUCUGUUCGGGAUUGUGAUCAGCAAAUGAAGUGAAAACUGAAAUGAGGUAACUAGUACAUGCUCUUUGUUUCGUAUAUAUUUCCCAGAUAACCACGCUUUCUUUUUCCUUGGAGUAAGAACCUACCCAGAAAUCUUGUCUCUCCCUCGGAGCAAUGAACUAACGGGGAACACAGUUCUGUUUCACAAACGGCAGAUGUGAUGAGAAGCAGGCCGACGAACAUCCUUGCAGCUCAUUCUGAAUGGUCUGAUAAUUCCCUGUCGCGCAUGAAUGGCCCUCGUGAGAACGUGGAGAAUAUGUGGAGUGUGAUAGAGGCCCAUUCUCCUAGCCUAGAUUGCCAAGUGUAUCCAGUGACGCCUCUGAUUUAAAAUGGUGGAAUGAAUACGCUCAGGGGACGCAUUCGGCAUUGUGAGUGCUGUAAUUCAAGCAAUCAAAAUAUAGAAGGAGACAUUUUCUGACUUCCUGCCAAGGGAUUUGCUCUAAAUUGUGCCUUUUAAAUAAAAUAUCACACACUGAAUCAUGUACACUGCCAAUCUGAAAAAUGAAGGCAGACCAGAGGGUUUUCUACUGGACAACGUUUACGUAAUGCCCACUUGACCUGAUUUACUUCUGGCAUGAAAAUGACUGGGGGAUGCACACUUUUCAUUCAAUUCCUUCACAUGGCUAGAUGUUCAAAAAUUCCCCAGUUGUUCAUAGGGUGAGAGUCUCCCCCGGCAUGUUCUUCUUUCUCCUUUGAUAUUUCCCUUUCAGAACAGUGAGCAUACCUCCAUUACCACAACCACUAAAUUGGUUUUUCAACUAGUUUGCCAUUCUUUAAUGGCUAUACA
Rattus rattus (black rat) is the source of this 1016-nucleotide long non-coding RNA. RefSeq lists it as uncharacterized. The transcript has 3 exons. Lineage: Eukaryota; Metazoa; Chordata; Mammalia; Rodentia; Muridae. The record is from RefSeq and is a predicted model, not a curated record.